Molecule: ribosomal RNA, 253 nt
Filed under: uncultured bacterium
Lineage: Bacteria
Description: partial 16S ribosomal RNA
Rfam family: Bacterial small subunit ribosomal RNA
Source: RNAcentral
UACGUAGGGUGCAGGCGUUAAUCGGAAUUACUGGGCGUAAAGCGUGCGCAGGCGGUUUGCUAAGACAGGUGUGAAAUCCCCGGGCUUAACCUGGGAACUGCGCUUGUUACUGGCAGGCUUGAGUGUGGCAGAGGGGGGUGGAGUUCCACGUGUAGCAGUGAAAUGCGUAGAGAUGUGGAGGAACACCGAUGGCGAAGGCAGCCCCCUGGGCUAACACUGACGCUCAUGCACGAAAGCGUGGGGAGCAAACAGG